Cucumis sativus (cucumber) is the source of this 620-nucleotide long non-coding RNA. RefSeq lists it as uncharacterized. The transcript is spliced from 3 exons. The record is from RefSeq and is a predicted model, not a curated record. Lineage: Eukaryota; Viridiplantae; Streptophyta; Magnoliopsida; Cucurbitales; Cucurbitaceae.
AAUUUGAACUCUCGGCUCUGUUAAACAAACUAUGCUUUAUUCAGCCGAGAUGAAUUGAGACUUUUGCCAUGGAGAAAUCAAGGGCUACCCAUUUAUCCCUUUUCUAAAUUUUGAUGAGGAUACAUGCCGUUUCUUCUUGGCAGCCACAAGCACAUGCUUUACAAGGAGUAACUUUCGAGUUAUAGAAAGAUGACAUGGAGACACAACAGGUUGGCGUUUGAGAAGCAAGAAACUGUGAGUAAGAGCAUGUCACAUUCCAAGUCACUGCAAAAAGAAGCAAGGGAGUUUGAUGUUGGCAGGCAGUUGAAAUGUUAAAAAUAAUGUGAAAAAUAGUCUAGUAGGCAUCUCAUCCCUUUCAAAGACCUCAUGAAUCCUCCCUAUCUUUGGAGUUAUGAACAGUAAGAUAUAUGAGUAGAAAGCUGAUGGUGGCACAAUCUUUGCCUGGCUACAUGUGUAACCCAGCCCUGGACCAUUCAAGGUGAAAUUCUUGGGAAGUCUCACUGUCUUAUUCGAACUACCGGAAUGACCAACCGUCAAUUGGAAGGCAGAGACAGCAGAUGAAGGAUCUUGUCCCCAAGAUGUCAAAACACCACCUUUGCAGCACAUAGCUACCUGUCUGU